Molecule: long non-coding RNA, 3143 nt
Organism: Bombus huntii
Lineage: Eukaryota; Metazoa; Arthropoda; Insecta; Hymenoptera; Apidae
Exons: 2
Source: RefSeq, a predicted model, not a curated record
CAUCGACACGAGUACAGUGAUUUUCUAAUAAAACACAAAGACAGAGUCUCAUGCUACUGUCCUUGUAGAAGGUGCUCUCUUCAUGUUAAAUUCAAGCCAGCGAUCAUCAUUUCAGAGAAACUGGUGCUAAGCGCUAAGGCGGGUGUGAAAAAUAACCAUUGCCUUUGUUCCUCUUUGACGAAAAUUUCACACACAACAUGUCGAAAGACAACUUUGAAGCGAUAUAACAAUGUGGUCAAAUGGCGAGUAAAAGCGUCUAGUCGAAAAGAAAGAAAGUGGAAAGGAAAUGAUCGUGGCGAUCGAAAAUCGUAACGACGCCUCUGAUUGGCGAUGAUCGUGCCGCUCGAAUCGAACGAAAUAAAGGGAAACGAAAGGUGUAUCGGAUUCGAGAAUCCGCAGUCGUUCGUAGUUCGCCAGCGACGUUACGUAACGUGUUUCUCCUCGGGCGCAACCCGCCAGCGACAUAGACACGCUUAACAUUCGAGACGCGUAACAGGAAGCACGUAACACAAACUUGCGCCGAUACUCGUGAAUUUGAUCCAGUGAUCACCGUUUCGGGACGAAACAACGCUGGAGGCGAGGCAACCACCUGCCCCCGGAUGAGUCGUUUCCUUUUCACGACAGGGCUAUCUCGAGAAAAAGGAAAACCAUCGCCCAGCCUCGGUGAAUAGAGAAGAGCCCUGAUAAUAACGACGCAGCUGCUAAUAAAAAGUGAAAAUACACUGAAAAUACACAGGCUACCAGGAAAGUAACGUCGUUAUGCUCGAGACAGAGAGGACAAAGAGGUGGAACGACGAUGGGGUAGAAUGGCAGUUCUGGCCAGCAACAAAUUGUGUCCCUUUUCAUUCAGGGCGCGAAUAAGAAUCUCUGCUGAGAAACAGGCAACGCAAGAAGACGUAGAAGAAGUUGGAAGAGGAAUUUUUGCGUUGAAAAGGUUUCACGAGUAACAGAAGCAGAACUUCAAGAUGCUAUCAUUCGUAGAGGCUUUAAAUGCUGGCAAAUGUUUGAGGGUACACAAUACCGGAGACUGAUAAGGUAAUUGUACUUUAUGCAACCUCUCCGCUACAAAACACGCGUAACAAAAUGUACGACAAGGAGGAAGUUGAAAAUUGUUUGCUGUUUAAGGUAUUUAUAGUACUGCGACAGAUGUAACAUAAUAUUUAACUAUGUACAGAGAAGAAUAUAAUACUUUGUUGAAACUUCUUCCUUGUUAUGCUAUGAAAGCUGUUUUAUGAACGAAAUAUGUCAAAAGACAAUUGAAGGAAAAAAUAGCUACUGUAGAAUUACAGUGUAAGAGGAGAACAUUUUUCGUACAGAAAGAUAAUUGAAAAUAGGAAUAAUAUAAACUUUUUCUAUAUUAAGAGCAGACUAUACAUAUAUAUAAUGAUUUUUAAGAUAGAUAUUCAAUUUGGAUAACGCUCAAACUUGAUUAAAAUUAGUUUUUAAUUUACGAGGUUAAUAUCAUACAUGAAUUUUUGUACGUAAAUGUACAUAUACUUGUUUUAAAUGUUGUUAGUAUAUAUUUACAUAUUGUAAUAAAACUCAUUUUAAUAUAAUUUACUUAUUUAGGGACAACGAGUAUAUCAAGCCUGUGAUACAUUCGCAGCUUGUAAUUCCCGAACGACUAAUUUCCAAUUCUAUAAACAUAAAAUUAAAAUAGCCGAUGACAAAUGUUAUUCUAUAUGCGAGAAGGAUUUAGAAAAACGUAAAGUCAUUAAAUCUUGAAAUACGAACGCGACGAGAAACAACAGCGAAUAAAAUUUACAUUUGAUCAGGGAAUUAACUUUCCAAUUAAUUUUCCAGCCCCAAAAUAGCCUUCAAUCUACACACUAACGACUCUCACAUUAGUAUUAACACGCACACAGCCGAAUAUAAUGCCAUCGUAAACAAUAUUUUAAUCCUAGCUUAAUCCAACCUCUAUCGACUGCAAUACCGCGUUAGUAUCCAGAAAACGCAAUUACGCGAAACGAAUUAUGCUAGGAUAGAAAUGUGAAAACAAUUCGAGAAAAAGUUUCUAAAUUAGCAACUGUGGUGGAUUAUUAUACAUGUUGGUUGGGUGUGAUACGAGUAAUAAAAUUGUAAUAUUCAGUAUAUAUUAAAAUCACUUCAACACGUUGACUGACACGCGUGUUUUCAAUAAAAUAUCCUUCAGGCCACGUGUGCCGCAGUACCAAACGUUCUCUGCUGGGUAUUCCCGCCGAUAUGUUAGAUAAUUUAAAAUCUUUGCCCUAAUUCGUUACAAUGUCAAAAAGAAAAAUGGAAAACUUAUUCUUUAGUGAGUCAAAUAGCAGUGAAAAAGAAAGCUUUUACGAGGCUUACACAAAUUUGGAUAGUAACAAUGAGAAAGAAAUCAGAUUUCCUAGAAAUAAAAAUAUAAAUAGAAUUACAUCGUCUGAUUCUGAUUCGGAUAUUGAUAAGUGCAAUCAUAGUGAUACUGAAUGUAAUGAAGAUACUGUCGACAAGAUUUUACAAGAAUUGGUCACUGAGGGAGAAAGAAGAACUGACGAUACCGAGGAAAGUACAAUUCAAUUUGGUGAAUGGAAUGAAUUUAGUGGUCGGCAGAAGUCAUUUUCUUCUCCCGAGACAGACGGCUUCAUUAGGCAAUUACCUGGCGAUAUUAAUUCAUAUGAUGCGUUUAAGCUGUUCGUUGAUGACGAAAUAGUAAACUUAUUUGUAUCAGAAAAUUACAACAGGGAAGGAUACAAAUAUUAGAAUAUUUAAAGAAUUAUUAGCUGCAAAAUUAUUAGGAUUGUCUGAAAAUACAAAAAAUCCUUGUCUUCGAUGGAGUCAGCAUAAUAUCGCCGUCCGAAAAAAUGAUUCCGGAAGAAGCAUUAGACACGCAUGCAAACUAUGUUAUGCAAAUGAAAGACGUCGAAUGGACUGAACAAAGACACGAGAGAAUUUAAAGAAAACAACAACUUAUUGUCCAAAUUGUCCCGACCAACCUCAGCUAUGUAUAGAAUGCUUUAAAGUUUUACGUUCUAAAUAAUCUUUUUAAUAAACCAUUUUCGUAUUACUUUUAUAACAAUUCAAUAGUUUUAUUAUUUCCUCUGGAAUAUCUUUUCAAAUACCUACGACGAUCUUUCGCAAGUAGUCAAAUAAGCGUCACUCGAAUACGGGUGUCGUGGCAGUCAACAUGUUAA